UACGGGGGGGGCAAGCGUUGUUCGGAAUUACUGGGCGUAAAGGGUUUGUAGGUGGCCCGCUAAGUCACACGUGAAAUCCCUCAGCUUAACUGGGGAACUGCGUCUGAGACUGGAUGGCUUGAGUGCAGGAGAGGAACGCGGAAUUCCAGGUGUAGCGGUGAAAUGCGUAGAUAUCUGGAGGAACACCGGUGGCGAAGGCGGCGUUCUGGACUGCAACUGACACUGAGGAACGAAAGCCAGGGGAGCAAACGGG
This 253-nucleotide ribosomal RNA is filed under the name uncultured bacterium. RNAcentral's name for it is "partial 16S ribosomal RNA". It matches the Rfam family "Bacterial small subunit ribosomal RNA", at positions 524 to 776 of the family's 1533-position model. The record is from RNAcentral.